UUGUGCCAGCAGCCGCGGUAAUACGAAGGGGGCUAGCGUUGCUCGGAAUCACUGGGCGUAAAGGGCGCGUAGGCGGCCAUUUAAGUCGGGGGUGAAAGCCUGUGGCUCAACCACAGAAUUGCCUUCGAUACUGGGUGGCUUGAGUCCGGAAGAGGUUGGUGGAACUGCGAGUGUAGAGGUGAAAUUCGUAGAUAUUCGCAAGAACACCGGUGGCGAAGGCGGCCAACUGGUCCGGAACUGACGCUGAGGCGCGAAAGCGUGGGGAGCAAACAGGAUUAGAUA
RNAcentral lists this ribosomal RNA (282 nucleotides) under uncultured Hyphomicrobiales bacterium. Its description in RNAcentral is "uncultured Rhizobiales bacterium partial 16S ribosomal RNA". It matches the Rfam family "Bacterial small subunit ribosomal RNA", at positions 503 to 784 of the family's 1533-position model. Lineage: Bacteria; Pseudomonadati; Pseudomonadota; Alphaproteobacteria; Hyphomicrobiales. The record is from RNAcentral.